CCUACGGGUGGCAGCAGUGAGGAAUAUUGGUCAAUGGACGCAAGUCUGAACCAGCCAUGCCGCGUGCAGGAAGACGGCUCUAUGAGUUGUAAACUGCUUUUGUACGAGGGUAAACUCAGAUACGCGUAUCUGUCUGCAAGUAUCGUACGAAUAAGGAUCGGCUAACUCCGUGCCAGCAGCCGCGGUAAUACGGAGGAUUCGAGCGUUAUCCGGAUUUAUUGGGUUUAAAGGGUGCGUAGGCGGUCUGUUAAGUUAGAGGUGAAAUCCCGAGGCUCAACUUCAGAAUUGCAUGUGAUACUGUUAGGCUAGAGAACAGUAGAGGUAGGCGGAAUGUAUGGUGUAGCGGUGAAAUGCUUAGAGAUCAUACAGAACACCGAUUGCGAAGGCAGCUUACCAAGCUACUUCUGACGUUGAGGCACGAAAGCGUGGGGAGCAAACAGGAUUAGAUACCCCAGUAGUC
This 460-nucleotide ribosomal RNA is filed under the name uncultured bacterium. Its description in RNAcentral is "partial 16S ribosomal RNA". It matches the Rfam family "Bacterial small subunit ribosomal RNA", at positions 338 to 795 of the family's 1533-position model. The record is from RNAcentral.